RNAcentral lists this ribosomal RNA (460 nucleotides) under uncultured bacterium. RNAcentral describes it as "partial 16S ribosomal RNA". It matches the Rfam family "Bacterial small subunit ribosomal RNA", at positions 338 to 795 of the family's 1533-position model. The record is from RNAcentral.
CCUACGGGAGGCAGCAGUGAGGAAUAUUGGUCAAUGGGCACGAGCCUGAACCAGCCAAGUCGCGUGAAGGAUGACUGCCCUACGGGUUGUAAACUUCUUUUAUAAAGGAAUAAAGUGAGGCACGUGUGCCUUUUUGUAUGUACUUUAUGAAUAAGGAUCGGCUAACUCCGUGCCAGCAGCCGCGGUAAUACGGAGGAUCCGAGCGUUAUCCGGAUUUAUUGGGUUUAAAGGGAGCGUAGAUGGGUUGUUAAGUCAGUUGUGAAAGUUUGGGGCUCAACCGUAAAAUUGCCAUUGAUACUGGCAGCCUUGAGUACAGUUGAGGUAUGCGGAAUUCGUGGUGUAGCGGUGAAAUGCUUAGAUAUCACGAAGAACUCCGAUUGCGAAGGCAGCCUACUAGACUGCCACUGACAUUGAGGCUCGAAAGUGUGGGUAUCAAACAGGAUUAGAUACCCUAGUAGUC